This is a non-coding RNA of Opisthocomus hoazin, 597 nucleotides long. The record is from RefSeq and is a predicted model, not a curated record. NCBI's taxonomy places the organism in Eukaryota, Metazoa, Chordata, Aves, Opisthocomiformes, Opisthocomidae.
UUCUUAGCGCCCACUCACUGAGGGGAGCAAUGCGGGGAAAGUGACUCCUCAGGAAAGACCCAGCAUGGCUGCCCAAGGAAAGCCCCAAGUGCAGUUUAAGCUUGUCCUGGUUGGUGAUGGUGGCACUGGUAAAACAACAUUUGUAAAAUGUCAUUUGACUGGUGAAUUUGAAAAGAAGUAUGUAGCAACGCUUGGGUGUUGAAGUUCAUCCUCUGGUGUUCCAGAUGCCCUAUUAAAUUUAACAUACGGGACACAGCUGGCCAAGAGAAAUUUGGUGGCCUGCGAGAUGGCUAUUACACCCAAGCUCAUCAUAAUGUCUGACGUAACAUCAAGAGUUACUUACAAGAAUGUACCUAAUUGGCACAGAGAUCUGGUAUAAGUAUGUGAAAACAUCCCUAUAGUGUUGUGUGGCAACAAAGUGGAUAUUAAGGACAGAAGAGUCAAGGCAAAAUCCAUUGUCUUCCACAGGAAAAAGAAUCUCCAGUAUUACGACAUUUCAGCUAAGAGUAACUACAACUUUGAGAAGCCCUUAUUCUGGCUUGCUAGAAAGCUAACUGGAGACCCUAACUUGGAAAAAAAUUUUAGUGCCACUGUACU